AGGAUUGCUUACAUCUAUCUACCCCUAUAAUUAUUUUCUAGUGAUAGAUAAUUGAAACUGAAAUUCCUAGUAAGAAUAAUUUUUUCCAGUGAGGCAAACAUUGAAGGAUUCAAAUUGAUGUGAAUUCAUGUUCUUAAAUAGCUAUAAAAACUAGAAAUAGUAUGAACCCAAAAGGACAACCAAAAUAAACAAGAUCAAAAGUUCACGAUGUUAACGAACCAUCAAUAUAACAAAAA
Molecule: long non-coding RNA, 236 nt
Filed under: Capsicum annuum
Lineage: Eukaryota; Viridiplantae; Streptophyta; Magnoliopsida; Solanales; Solanaceae
Description: long non-coding RNA (CANN_LNC022096)
Source: RNAcentral